This 253-nucleotide ribosomal RNA is filed under the name uncultured bacterium. Its description in RNAcentral is "partial 16S ribosomal RNA". It matches the Rfam family "Bacterial small subunit ribosomal RNA", at positions 524 to 776 of the family's 1533-position model. The record is from RNAcentral.
GAGAGAGGCGGCAAGCGUUGCGCGGAGUCACUGGGCGUAAAGGGUCUGUAGGCGGCUGGAGAAGUCGGCUGUCAAAUCCCGCGGCUCAACCGCGGAACUGCAGCCGAUACUCUCGAGCUAGAGGAUGGAAUGGGCGAGCGGGAUUCCUGGUGGAGCGGUGAAGUGCGUUGAUAUCAGGAAGAACGCCGGUAGCGAAAGCGACUCGCUGGUCUAUCCCUGACGCUGGAGGACGAAAGCCAGGGGAGCAAACCGG